Molecule: ribosomal RNA, 384 nt
Filed under: uncultured bacterium
Lineage: Bacteria
Description: bacterial SSU rRNA
Rfam family: Bacterial small subunit ribosomal RNA
Source: RNAcentral
GGGUGACGAACUUCCGGAUUAGCGGCGAACGGGUGAGUAACGCGUGAGGAACCUGCCUCUCACAACGGGAUAGCCUCGGGAAACCGGGAUUAAUACCGUAUGACACUAUCAGAUGGCAUCAUCAGAUAGUUAAAGUGCUAGCGGUGAGAGAUGGCCUCGCGUCUGAUUAGUUAGUUGGUGGGGUAACGGCCUACCAAGACGACGAUCAGUAACCGGCCUGAGAGGGUGAACGGUCACAUUGGAACUGAGACACGGUCCAAACUCCUACGGGAGGCAGCAGUGGGGAAUCUUGCACAAUGGGGGAAACCCUGAUGCAGCGACGCCGCGUGAGCGAUGAAGGUUUUCGAAUCGUAAAGCUCUGUCCUAUGGGAAGAUAAUGACGGU